UGGUCAUUAUCAAGGCUUUUAGAAUGCAUUUUCUCAUUUACUGUGAACAUAACAAUAAAAAAUUUCCCACCAGGUUUUCUAUAAGCUACUUUGUUAGCAGUCAACCUGUUGGGAAUGAUA
This 120-nucleotide small nucleolar RNA is filed under the name Castor canadensis (American beaver). Its description in RNAcentral is "Small nucleolar RNA SNORA32 (ENSCCNG00000030511.1)". It matches the Rfam family "Small nucleolar RNA SNORA32". From Rfam's summary of the family: ACA32 is a member of the H/ACA class of snoRNA that guide the sites of modification of uridines to pseudouridines. The record is from Rfam by way of RNAcentral. Lineage: Eukaryota; Metazoa; Chordata; Mammalia; Rodentia; Castoridae.